This 60-nucleotide transfer RNA is filed under the name Pealius mori. RNAcentral's name for it is "tRNA-Ala". The record is from RNAcentral. Lineage: Eukaryota; Metazoa; Arthropoda; Insecta; Hemiptera; Aleyrodidae.
AAGAUAAUAGUUUAUAAAAAACAUUUAACUUGCAAUUAAAAAAAAUUUAGAUUUAUCUAU